This is a long non-coding RNA of Malania oleifera, 638 nucleotides long. RefSeq lists it as uncharacterized. The transcript is spliced from 2 exons. The record is from RefSeq and is a predicted model, not a curated record. NCBI's taxonomy places the organism in Eukaryota, Viridiplantae, Streptophyta, Magnoliopsida, Santalales, Ximeniaceae.
GUUUUCCCGGCAACCAAACAGACCGUUUAAGAUAUUUACAAAGAUGCGUUCAGAUCAAUGCCUCUCGCUGAAGAUAAACUUUGGCCUGCAGACAACCGGUCUCCUCGAUGAUCAACACGACCCCGUGUUCUGACAAUUCCACCACCGCGUCCUGAAUGUAACAGUUUAAGUCAUAUAAACCCUAGGUAGCCGGAGAAGCGAAAGUUCCGAGGAGAUAGCAUUCGCUCCUCGGGGUGAAGGCAAAGAGAGGGGACAAACCUGAUGGCGCUUCCACCGGACGGAGCUGAGGGCGUCGACCAUGCCUUGGACGUUGUCGAGCUGACACACCAGAUCGGCGGCUUCCGGCUCCACCGUCGAGCUCAUUUUCCCCCUUCCCGCCAAAAUCCUUUCCAGCGCUUCCCAGUUACCGAAUACUUUAUGGUUCACUCUCUGGGCACUCCAUGCUUGUAAGCUCCGUCAACGGCCCUGAUCUUGCCUCCUCAUCAUCAUCAGUCUGAUCGCCGCGUUUAUUUUUAAAAUUAAUUAACUAUUGUUUAUUUAUACAAUAGUUAUAUUUAUGGAUGUUUCAUUCACUCACAAAAUAUCACCAAGCACAACAUUUAUUUAACGACAUAAAUGAAAUGAUAUUUUUAUUCUAA